CUCAGGACGAACGCUGGCGGCGUGCUUAACACAUGCAAGUCGAACGAUGAAGCCCUUCGGGGUGGAUUAGUGGCGAACGGGUGAGUAACACGUGGGCAAUCUGCCCUGCACUCUGGGACAAGCCCUGGAAACGGGGUCUAAUACCGGAUACUGAUCGCCUUGGGCAUCCUUGGUGAUCGAAAGCUCCGGCGGUGCAGGAUGAGCCCGCGGCCUAUCAGCUUGUUGGUGAGGUAAUGGCUCACCAAGGCGACGACGGGUAGCCGGCCUGAGAGGGCGACCGGCCACACUGGGACUGAGACACGGCCCAGACUCCUACGGGAGGCAGCAGUGGGGAAUAUUGCACAAUGGGCGAAAGCCUGAUGCAGCGACGCCGCGUGAGG
RNAcentral lists this ribosomal RNA (380 nucleotides) under Streptomycetaceae bacterium ACTS25. RNAcentral's name for it is "bacterial SSU rRNA". It matches the Rfam family "Bacterial small subunit ribosomal RNA", at positions 23 to 406 of the family's 1533-position model. The record is from RNAcentral. Lineage: Bacteria; Bacillati; Actinomycetota; Actinomycetes; Kitasatosporales; Streptomycetaceae.